RNAcentral lists this ribosomal RNA (817 nucleotides) under uncultured bacterium. RNAcentral's name for it is "bacterial SSU rRNA". It matches the Rfam family "Bacterial small subunit ribosomal RNA", at positions 8 to 796 of the family's 1533-position model. The record is from RNAcentral.
AGAGUUUGAUCAUGGCUCAGAAUGAACGCUGGCGGCGUGCUUAACACAUGCAAGUCGCACGAGAACGCUUCAGCUUGCUGGAGCUAGUAAAGUGGCGCACGGGUGAGUAACGCGUGGGUAAUCUAUCUCUGAAUUGGGGAUAACAUUGCGAAAGCGAUGCUAAUACCGGAUGACAUCCAUUAAACCUCGGUUUUUUGGAUCAAAGGUGGCCUCUACAUGUAAGCUACUGUUUGGAGACGAGCCCGCGUACCAUUAGCUUGUUGGUAGGGUAACGGCUUACCAAGGCAACGAUGGUUAGCUGGUCUGAGAGGAUGAUCAGCCACACUGGAACUGACACACGGUCCAGACUCCUACGGGAGGCAGCAGUGAGGAAUUUUGCGCAAUGGGGGAAACCCUGACGCAGCAACGCCGCGUGAGUGAUGAAGGCUUUCGGGUCGUAAAGCUCUGUCAAGUGGGAAGAACCCGCGUCGCACAAAUAGUGCGGUGCGCUGACGGUACCACUGAAGGAAGCACCGGCUAACUCCGUGCCAGCAGCCGCGGUAAUACGGGGGGGUGCAAGCGUUAUUCGGAAUCAUUGGGCGUAAGGAGCGCGUAGGCGGUCUUCUAUGUCAGGUGUGAAAGCCCGGGGCUCAACCCCGGAAGUGCACUUGAAACUGGGAGACUUGAGUAUGGGAGAGGGAAGUGGAAUUCCUGGUGUAGCGGUGAAAUGCGUAGAUAUCAGGAGGAACACCGGUGGCGAAGGCGACUUCCUGGACCAAUACUGACGCUGAGGCGCGAAGGCGUGGGGAGCAAACAGGAUUAGAUACCCUAGUAGUCC